Molecule: long non-coding RNA, 1823 nt
Organism: Papaver somniferum (opium poppy)
Lineage: Eukaryota; Viridiplantae; Streptophyta; Magnoliopsida; Ranunculales; Papaveraceae
Exons: 5
Source: RefSeq, a predicted model, not a curated record
AUUGAGAUGAGUUUUCUUUUUUCUUUAUCAGAAUGAUCGGCAAUUACAGAUGAGUUAGAGUCAGAUACCGGCGGACAUGAAUUCAUCAAAUCCACAUGGUACAGGUAGAUAAUGUGAAUUUGCAGUUGAUGCAGGUUAACUACUCUGGUACACAGUACAGUUGAUGCAGUUGUAUGCGGGUGUAUCAAUUAAACACAAUAUUUUCUAAAGGAAGUAAAUAAUGGCUUAAUGUCGUCAAACCCAGCAUAGUGUCAAGCCAGCGUAACAGCAAAGGACGGAUUUGGCGUAGGCCUAUUAGUGGUCAGAUUCGGUAGUGCAGACCAGUAAUCGUCGAGUGAGCGAGAGAAACACAUUAAUGAUAUCAAGAAGUUGAAAUGGGUUGCUAAGGGAAAAGCAGGACAUCACUAUCGAGAAUAUCAAGAAAAAGCUUCAAGCAAGGCCGGCAACAAAGUUAGUUCAUGACCUGCGUAAGAAAGUCAAAAUUUUGCAGGUAAUCAAUGAUGAGCUUCUUCCAACCCCUGCUAUUGCAACUAACUCGACUUGUUCCACUAUUAGACCUUAAUUGCUCGAAAACAAGUUCUUACACUUAAAUUUUAACCCGACAGUCACACUUAUUUUUUUUGUUACAUUUUUGCCAGAAAUUACUAUGAUUUUAAUUUUAGUCAUUUUCAGACCUAGAAUAAUAUUCUUAUUUGAUUGCUUCCAACUGCUUUUUGUAAAGUCUAUAUAAUUAUAUUAUAACUAAAUAUCUUUUUAUAAUUAAUUGAAGAAUAAGCAUGCCAAAACAUUCAAUUAGCUUUGAGUUAUUUGACACGGAUUGUGAUUGUGAAGUACUUGGUAUGCUAUAAUGUAUUCUGUGCACUUCUUUAUUCAUGUUAAACUUUCUGAGCAAUCAACUUUGCUGGAAACGAAUGCGAUAUUGCAUACCAAGUAGUUUUGUGAGUCGUUGGUGAAAAACAGAGUGUUGAAGCUUGUUUAGAAACUAAUUGGAACCUAAGAAAUAGGUUUGGAUUGUGUGACGCAUACAGUUUGAUCAGCAGUAUCGGUAUGUCUCUCGGGUAGAGAGUUAGAAGCCCGGGAUACAACCAGGAGUAGUAGUGAACCAAGUUCAGCCAGGUAUCCGUCGAUAAUCAAGGUGUGAAAAAAAACCCAAGGUGAUUCCAGCAAGUGAGUUAAUGCCGUACUAAUAUGUGAAGCGAGGACAAACAGUCAAGCAAGAUUAACUAUGCUCGAAAUUGUUGCAGAUGUUCAAACUGAACCAGUUUAAGGGGCAACGCAGAAUACGUUCUUUCUAGUUUGGGUUUAAGGAAGGCUGUUGGAGUUGUAGAUUAAACCCAACCUAGAAGUGUUUCUAACUUCUAUAGUUAAAUGUCAUGUUUAAAUUUUGUAGUUCCAAUCCAUAAGGCCGCAUCGAAGAACUCCUACAAGUGCUCCACGUAUGGAUCAUCAGUCGGCUAAUUCUGACGACUUAAUGAUGCAUAUUCCUACUGGUCUUCCAAGGAGUGUGGGACAUUCCUCCACUUUCAACUUGCAAGGCGACCUUCCUAAAGUCGUAGUGAGAGCUUGAGCCAAGGCUCUAUUGUGACGAGCAUGGGUUUUAAUCCACAGGAGAGGCUGGCAUAUAAGCAUAUAAGAAUUUUGAGGAUACCUUGUAACAUUUUUUCCAAGCGUUUCAAAGAUGUCUAAACAUUUGGUGUAUGUAGUACCUAAGUAAAUAUCUUGAGACCCUCUUAUAGAGGUAUCCGGUUUAUAUUAUUUGACCCUAUUAAACAAGUACCCAUUAUAUUUAUAGUACCAUGAUACAAGAUGCCCAUUUUAAUUGA